ACUCGAGUGGCGAACGGGUGAGUAACACGUGGGUGAUCUGCCCUGCACUUCGGGAUAAGCCUGGGAAACCGGGUCUAAUACCGGAUAGGAGCCAUUUUUAGUGUGAUGGUUGGAAAGUUUUUCGGUGUAGGAUGAGCUCGCGGCCUAUCAGCUUGUUGGUGGGGUAAUGGCCUACCAAGGCGGCGACGGGUAGCCGGCCUGAGAGGGUGGACGGCCACAUUGGGACUGAGAUACGGCCCAG
This 241-nucleotide ribosomal RNA is filed under the name uncultured Actinomycetales bacterium. RNAcentral's name for it is "partial 16S ribosomal RNA". It matches the Rfam family "Bacterial small subunit ribosomal RNA", at positions 89 to 334 of the family's 1533-position model. Lineage: Bacteria; Bacillati; Actinomycetota; Actinomycetes; Actinomycetales. The record is from RNAcentral.